RNAcentral lists this long non-coding RNA (965 nucleotides) under Trifolium pratense (red clover). RNAcentral's name for it is "long non-coding RNA (TPRA_LNC001795)". The record is from RNAcentral. Lineage: Eukaryota; Viridiplantae; Streptophyta; Magnoliopsida; Fabales; Fabaceae.
UUUGAGCAAUGAGAUUUACAUAUAUAUAAAAAUACCACGUUUAUUUAUUACAAAUGUGGAACCAGAAAUACAUUAUCUUUAACAACAAGGUGCAGUUUGAUUAGCUAAGGAAACAGAUACAUGAAGUUGUUAUUUUAGGCAAAGUGAAAGCCAUGACAGAAAGUACAAUACAGUUAUACAAAACACAAACAUUAAGCACAACAUAAAUCUAGAACAACUUAAGCAAAUGUUACCAUUGAAGGUACUUAUUUCAAACAUAAGACAUAAUCCAGCAAAUUUUUAUAAACACUGCACAAUCACUGAAUUUGUUCAUUUAGAACCUUGUUGCUGUUACUGCAGAACAACACAUUCUUGUGAACCAGCCACCACAGUAGGGUAUGUGCUCGAGUUGACAGCGUCGUCUUUGGGAAGAGAUUGAAGAUUGUCAUCCAAUUCUUCAGUUAAAGCAAUGGCUUCAAAGAUAAGAGCAUUGACUUCUUGAAACCUUUCUUCAGAAAGUGAAACUUCUGCAAGAAGUCGCCAAGCAUUGGCUUCAGACGCCUCGUCGAAAUCCUUUUUCCUCUUUAAAACCAUGUGUCCACUUAUUUCCCACACUGCAGGAUUUACUUGUGUGUCGAGAAGCUCAGCAUCCACUUCUCCAAGAGCUUGUUUCUCUGCAUAACACUGUUAAAAAUAUUGGUUAAGCAACCGUAUUAUAUAUUUAUAUGUAACACCGCAUAUAUAGUCCACUAGAAAGUCUAGUUAGUUUGAGAAAUUGUUUUACCUGUGGCAACAGAAAUACUUGCGUUCCGCAGUCAGAAAUAAGAACAUUGUAAGGUAUGUUGUUGUUUUGUAGGGAGAUACAAGCAUCUGAAACAAUUUUUGAUAAAUCUUCAAGUGUGUCGCCGCCCUCAAAGACAAGACCUCUAACCGGAUACUUCAACAAUUUAGAUAUCUUCACUCCACCAUUUGACAUUGCGAUUUUC